Molecule: long non-coding RNA, 378 nt
Organism: Columba livia (rock pigeon)
Lineage: Eukaryota; Metazoa; Chordata; Aves; Columbiformes; Columbidae
Exons: 3
Source: RefSeq, a predicted model, not a curated record
AAAAAAAAGGAAAAGGAAAAGGGGAAAAAAAGAAAGACACAAGACACAACUUAAAGAGUAGAAUGAGGAGCUGGAAGGGAGGGGGAGGCUCCCGCCGCGCCUUUCGCAGCAGGGGGGAGCGGGAGAAUUUGCAGGGAAAGCAAGAAUGAAUCAUGACAGAGAACAGAUUCCUCCAAAGAACUGAUUUUUCGUGAAAGUUUUGCUGCACACUAUUGCGGUCAGUGAGCAGAGACAAUUCAGAUAAAACAGGUCUAGGCUUUGAAGCAAGCAGUUCCUCUUCACUUGUACAGUGCUCAGGGGAAUUCAGUCCUGAUCUCUUCCUUGCAACUUCCACCUCUGAAGGCAACACAAAUCAUGAAUGGGGGUUUGCUGAUCCAU